Molecule: ribosomal RNA, 239 nt
Filed under: uncultured bacterium
Lineage: Bacteria
Description: partial 16S ribosomal RNA
Rfam family: Bacterial small subunit ribosomal RNA
Source: RNAcentral
UAGGGAAUCUUCCACAAUGGACGAAAGUCUGAUGGAGCAACGCCGCGUGAGUGAUGAAGGGUUUCGGCUCGUAAAACUCUGUUGUUGGAGAAGAACGGGUGUCAGAGUAACUGUUGACAUCGUGACGGUAUCCAACCAGAAAGCCACGGCUAACUACGUGCCAGCAGCCGCGGUAAUACGUAGGUGGCAAGCGUUGUCCGGAUUUAUUGGGCGUAAAGCGAGCGCAGGCGGUUUUUUCA